GAGUAAUGCUUGGGAACAUGCCUUGAGGUGGGGGACAACAGUUGGAAACGACUGCUAAUACCGCAUAAUGUCUACGGACCAAAGGGGGCUUCGGCUCUCGCCUUUAGAUUGGCCCAAGUGGGAUUAGCUAGUUGGUGAGGUAAUGGCUCACCAAGGCAACGAUCCCUAGCUGGUUUGAGAGGAUGAUCAGCCACACUGGGACUGAGACACGGCCCAGACUCCUACGGGAGGCAGCAGUGGGGAAUAUUGCACAAUGGGCGCAAGCCUGAUGCAGCCAUGCCGCGUGUGUGAAGAAGGCCUUCGGGUUGUAAAGCACUUUCAGUCAGGAGGAAAGGUUAGUAGUUAAUACCUGCUAGCUGUGACGUUACUGACAGAAGAAGCACCGGCUAACUCCGUGCCAGCAGCCGCGGUAAUACGGAGGGUGCGAGCGUUAAUCGGAAUUACUGGGCGUAAAGCGUACGCAGGCGGUUUGUUAAGCGAGAUGUGAAAGCCCCGGGCUCAACCUGGGAACUGCAUUUCGAACUGGCAAACUAGAGUGUGAUAGAGGGUGGUAGAAUUUCAGGUGUAGCGGUGAAAUGCGUAGAGAUCUGAAAGGAAUACCGAUGGCGA
This 609-nucleotide ribosomal RNA is filed under the name bacterium W15M16_F. RNAcentral describes it as "bacterial SSU rRNA". It matches the Rfam family "Bacterial small subunit ribosomal RNA", at positions 108 to 718 of the family's 1533-position model. The record is from RNAcentral.